UGGGGAAUAUUGGACAAUGGAGGAAACUCUGAUCCAGCAAUUCUGUGUGUGUGAAGAAGGUUUUAGGACUGUAAAACACUUUUAGUAGGGAAGAAAAAAAUGACGGUACCUACAGAAGAAGCAACGGCUAAAUACGUGCCAGCAGCCGCGGUAAUACGUAUGUUGCGAGCGUUAUCCGGAAUUAUUGGGCUUAAAGGGCAUCUAGGCGGUAAGACAAGUUGAAGGUGAAAACCUGUGGCUCAACCAUAGGCUUGCCUACAAAACUGUUGAACUAGAGUACUGGAAAGGUGGGUGGAACUACACGAGUAGAGGUGAAAUUCGUAGAUAUGUGUAGGAAUGCCGAUGAUGAAGAUAACUCACUGGACAGUAACUGACGCUGAAGUGCGAAAGCUAGGGGAGCAAACAGG
This 407-nucleotide ribosomal RNA is filed under the name Verrucomicrobiota bacterium. Its description in RNAcentral is "Verrucomicrobia bacterium partial 16S ribosomal RNA". It matches the Rfam family "Bacterial small subunit ribosomal RNA", at positions 355 to 776 of the family's 1533-position model. Lineage: Bacteria; Pseudomonadati; Verrucomicrobiota. The record is from RNAcentral.